Molecule: ribosomal RNA, 520 nt
Filed under: uncultured bacterium
Lineage: Bacteria
Description: bacterial SSU rRNA
Rfam family: Bacterial small subunit ribosomal RNA
Source: RNAcentral
GGGAACAUACCCUUUUCUACGGAAUAGCUCUGGGAAACUGGAAUUAAUACCGUAUACGCCCUACGGGGGAAAGAUUUAUCGGGGAAGGAUUGGCCCGCGUUGGAUUAGCUAGUUGGUGGGGUAAAGGCCUACCAAGGCGACGAUCCAUAGCUGGUCUGAGAGGAUGAUCAGCCACAUUGGGACUGAGACACGGCCCAAACUCCUACGGGAGGCAGCAGUGGGGAAUAUUGGACAAUGGGCGCAAGCCUGAUCCAGCCAUGCCGCGUGAGUGAUGCAGGCCUUAGGGUUGUAAAGCUCUUUCACCGAUGAAGAUAAUGACGGUAGUCGGAGAAGAAGCCCCGGCUAACUUCGUGCCAGCAGCCGCGGUAAUACGAAGGGGGCUAGCGUUGUUCGGAAUUACUGGGCGUAAAGCGCACGUAGGCGGAUAUUUAAGUCAGGGGUGAAAUCCCAGAGCUCAACUCUGGAACUGCCUUUGAUACUGGGUAUCUUGAGUAUGGAAGAGGUAAGUGGAAUUGCGAGU